AGCCUGUCCAGGGAUUCAGGCUGGAACAGCUGGCGAGGCCUAUGAGCAGGUUUACUGCUGGAGUCCUUGGGUAGGCUGCCUUGGUGACUGAUCAGUGGGGACUUGGGCCUGAUACCUUGGUCCAUAAGACAUGGGCCUGGUUCUGGGGCAGUCCUGGAGCCUCCAUAUGUGGAAGGCGUUCUGGAGCUGAGGUGCCAUAAUCUUUCACCUGGGUUCCUUAGCUCUUGUGAAGGUAUCUUCAUGCAUGGAUGGUAGUUCAAACUGAUGUUUCUUUGAAAGGUCGAAUGUUACUGAAGGGGAAGACAAUGACCAGGAACUUCUCCAAAGUCAA
This 331-nucleotide long non-coding RNA is filed under the name Homo sapiens (human). RNAcentral describes it as "HSALNT0372548". The record is from RNAcentral. Lineage: Eukaryota; Metazoa; Chordata; Mammalia; Primates; Hominidae.